This is a long non-coding RNA of Zingiber officinale, 626 nucleotides long. RefSeq lists it as uncharacterized. The transcript has 3 exons. Lineage: Eukaryota; Viridiplantae; Streptophyta; Magnoliopsida; Zingiberales; Zingiberaceae. The record is from RefSeq and is a predicted model, not a curated record.
AUCUGGAAUCCUCAGGAACCUUCGCCUCGCCCUCUCUUUCAGUUCGUAAAAGUAAAACCACCACUUCCCUUUCCUUCUCAUGCCCUCUCGUCUGUCCGGUUGCUUUUUGCGUCGGCGAAUCAAACAGAUCAGGAUCGCUGAGUUAAUUGCUUUUGGUUUGUGCAAAUCUCAAUGAGAGUUCUAAAGAAACUACCAGUUAAAAGCAUUCUUGAGCAUGUAUACCCGAUGAAAGGAACACAGAGGACCGUGAAAAUUGCUACCCUAGAUAAGCAUGGGGAAGAACACCUCGUCCCAAUUGUAGCGGUCGAUAAGCCAAGGUUACCUCCUGAACUCGGUCCUUUGAUUGUUCUUUCAUUUCUGGAGAUGUCAAGUAGUAACGACAAAGAUGACUAAAGUAUCGUUAAGGGUGUUUCAGUCUGUGUUGGAAGUUUUAUGUGAUCUUCAGGAUGUUUAGUUUGUGGUGUACCUGCUGAACUAUGCAUGAUAUGUGUAGGACAACAAAAUAACACAUUAGAGUCUCCAUGCAUUUAUAAAAUAACAAAGGACAACAAAAUCUGUUUUGCUGUGGUUCAAGUUGUAGCAUUGUCGAUCAAACUAUAUAUGCAUUUACCAUUCUGUUUGCAAUA